Molecule: small RNA, 912 nt
Filed under: Oryza sativa Japonica Group (Japanese rice)
Lineage: Eukaryota; Viridiplantae; Streptophyta; Magnoliopsida; Poales; Poaceae
Description: sRNA Os01g0602075
Source: RNAcentral
UGUAGGUAUCCCUUAUCCCAAUUUUAUUACAAAGGUACAAAUAUCACAACUCACAACCAAGAGUUGUAAUAAUAAAACACGCUAUAAUCUGAAAUGAUCAUAUAGCUCUAACUUUCAUCUGUGCACCGUGCAUUGGAUGCAGAGUUACCAUAGUAUGCGGCGCAUGAGUAUAUGAUGGCGCAAGCUCAAACUCCAAGCGUUGAAGAAUCAGGCACAAUGCCAUCUUGGACUCAAGCAGCGCGAAGUUUUGGCCGAUGCAGAUUCGUGGCCCCCAACCGAAUGGGAGGAAUGCUCCCGGAUCCUUAGACGCCUUAGAGAUCCCCUCAGAGAACCUCUCAGGCUUGAACUCAUGCACAUCACUUCCCCAUGAGUCCGGAUCAUGGUGGAUGAACAACACGGGGAUUUUAAUGCUAACACCAGCUGGGUAAGUGACUCCUCCUAUCUCCAUCUCUUUGUAUGUUUUCCAACCAAUCUCGAUGAACGGUGGGUGCAACCGAAGAACCUCGUAGAAGAUCAUUAUACUGACAAUUUUGAGGCGGCUCAAGCCUUCGUAGUCAGGUUUGUUCUUCCUAAAUAAUCCCAUAAUCUCUUCCCUUGCAUGGUCCUGCCACUCCGGGUGUAUGCUUAAUAGCAGCAUGGUCCAUGUGAGAAGCACUGAUGUUGUCUCCGCUCCUGCAAAGUAGAACAGCUUGCACUCCUCCACGAUAUCCUUGAUUGUCAACCCCUGGCUUGAUUGACCAUUCUCUUCCAUGUGCUUUGUGUUUGACUCAAGCAAUAUGCCAAGUAAAUCAUCUUUUGUGCUUUCACCUUCUUUCAUAGCUUGCAUUCUUUUCCCAAUUAAACCUCUUAGAAUCGAUUCGAUCUCUUUAUUUAUUUGAUGCAUCUUCCGGUUGUUCUCAAUAGGCAAAGACC